RNAcentral lists this long non-coding RNA (14029 nucleotides) under Capsicum annuum. Its description in RNAcentral is "long non-coding RNA (CANN_LNC003271)". Lineage: Eukaryota; Viridiplantae; Streptophyta; Magnoliopsida; Solanales; Solanaceae. The record is from RNAcentral.
GAGAGUUCAUGCAAAGAAAAGAUGAAUAAAUUAAUGCCCAUUCGAGACAUAACAUACCUCAAAAUAAAGAAACAUCAAGGACUAAGUUUUGAAUGAUAAUGAUGCACACACUUAUGCACAUGAUAAGAAUGAGAGUCAAUCGAUACGAUGCAAAGCCUAGACGGGUUCAUAUAACAAUCCGAACAGAAUGAAGCAACUAGAAUGAAAAUAACUUCUCGCUUAAUUCAAUAAGAUAUAUUGCGCAUGGUUUGAACAUACCUCGAUAAUCUACUUAAGAGGUGAAGAUAUAUUCAUGGACAAAAUAGUGAAUACAAAAAACAAAAGGUCACAGAAGGAUAAAGAAUUCCCUGCACAAAUUCUUAAGGGAGAUUUUAUACCAAAAGCAUGGUUCCAGCAGGUGGUGAUGAUUCUUACUAUAUCAAACCAAAUUUUAACGCUCCUAGCCUGCGAAAGACUAAUUAUCCCAGAUUUCAAAUAAAGGCAUUUAACAUGGGAUAGGAUCAAAUAGAGAAGGAAAAGACUAGAUACAAAUAGUACGAGAAACAAUCCGAUCUUGGACUCCUUAAAGAAAAUAAUCAAAAUCCAGCAUUUUAGAUAAGUGUAGACUAGGUUCUAUCACAAUAUAACGAAAUAUAUACCCAUGGCCUUCUUUCGCAAGAAAAAAGGCUUAAAGGCUCUAUCGAAUUUGAACUCACAGUGAUUUCAUCUUCCUAUUAAAUAAAUAUUAAAGGGAAGAAAAUGAAAACUGGGAAGAGGGCCUGUGAGGCAACAACGUCUUUCUAUUCACAUGAGUAUACAUGAAAUCCCUGUACAGACGUCACCCAACAGACGACAACUACUCCAAAGUAACGCAAGAGAGAGUCUGGGAAUACUGUCUCCAAAUCGAUCAUGUGAGUAAACUAAACUUCAAAGAGUAACAAGCAACAAAUGUUCGAGUCAAAAUCUUUAGAGCAACAAUUAAAUCUGGAAACCACCUAAUCAGUUAAUUCUUGACAGUGGGUAUUUAAGGACGGAGAUAAGUGAUUAUGACGCGUUAUCUCAUCCCUAAUCCUAUUUCUGAAAGAAAAAUGAGUAUAACUUCAUCCCUACCUUCUUGAUAUUACUGAACAAGAAAGAUUACUGGGAAUCCUUAGCUCAUGUACAAACAAUAUAAUGUAAUGACAACAAAAUUAGUCUAAUUUUCCCAAACAAACACACUUAAAUGUGCAGCAUCCACAAAAAGAAAACAACAUUUAUCCUUCUAAUAGGAUUUCAUACCGAAGAUGAACUUAAAGGAAAAAUGGAAAUCUAAAUUUGGGUUUUUGAAACCAAAAGAAAGGUAUAAUCCACAGACUGAAAAAAAAAGCAUGUGGCAGAGUAUACUAUCCUCAUCCUCACUCUCUCUCUCUUCGACAAACCCAAAAGAUAAGCUUUUGGUAGCCGAAAUAAUUACCGAGGAAUCACGGGAUUUUUCUGUUUUUGGAGGACUUAUCCUCGUUAUUCUUUGUCAUUUUGGAAGGCAAAGAACUCAAGAGAAAGUCCUACUAACGGUAUUAUCGGCACAACAGUUAUAAUAACGAAAAACAACAAAAGCAACCCAAACGGAAUAUUGUCUCUAUCUUCCUCAUCGCUCCGAUCAACUCAAACAAAAUAGUCAUCGAGGAAUCCUAGGAUUUUCUAGAAUAUUUUGGACCUUGAUCAUUGUCUUUUUGGCACAUAAAAAGCCAAAGGAACUUGAGAGGUAGCUCUACCAGCAACACUUCUAGCUCAACAAUGACACCACAAUCCAGCAACGAUCCUAAACAAACAUGAUCAGAUAACAACUACAAGCCAAACAUCGUCGACUAAAACUACGGAAUACAAUCAAAGUCACAAACUUUGCCUAACAAACCAGCCCUUCCAAUUACCAUCCAUACACCGAGUGAAGCACAGGCCAAAAAUUACUCAAUAACACCAAGAGUGGGCGACAGAUCAUGACACCAAAGUAAACAAGGAUGACCGAAAACAAACCUGAACAUAGAUUAAUUCUAACAUAACAAUUCAUUCAACAUUUUUCAUCAAAAACAACAACCUAUGGUCUUUGAGACCUCUACAGCACAUAACCCAGCAAACAAAACUACGAUUUUACCAGAAAAUGGGAUGAAGCAUAGAAAGUGAAAUAACGAAAUAAGGGUAAAUGAGUGUUCACCUCCUUCGGGGCAGCAAAAUGGGAUAACGAUCUAUCAGCGGGACCACCAGAAAAUGUCGUCUUCACUAUCAACUCGACACUCUAAUUUAGCUGAUGAGCUUUCGAAAUAAGAACAGAAUUUAUAUUUGAGACUGAGUCUCCUCAAGAAUCUUUCUUUCUUCUUUACUUUUAAAAUGUUUAACCUACAGCUUUCUACAACCCCAAUUUCGAACCCCCUUUAGGACCCCUCAAAGAAAAUCCCCAAAAACAGUAGCUCCCCGAAGAAACUAUGAUUUUUGAACCCCAAGAAUCGAAAGAACCAAUUUUAUGGAAAAAAAUCAACCUUCGAAAGAACCCCGAGCUGGAAAAAAAAACCUUAAAUAGUGACCUCAAGGGCCCUUUUUAUAGAAGAUGAAUUAGGGUUUCCCCUAGGGAUUUGAAAAAGUGAGAAAUCUUGAAUUUGAAAUUCAAAGGAUGGGAUAAGGUUGAGCUGUAAUUUGUCCUAAAAAUCAUACCAAGUUGUUGAGAGAUUUGAAUUUUGAAUGGUUAGCAAUUGAGGAGCGAAUUGGAAGCUAACAUGUAGCACCCUCUAGAACAUUCGAUGUUCUUGUCUCGUGCUAGUCACACACAGACGUUGAGAGAAAACCUCAUUAGGUUAGGCUCGGGUUGGCUCAAACAGGGCCGAUUUGAGUUGGGAUCGAGUUGAAACCCGUGUCUCCGUUGAUGGCUGCUUAGUGUUGGAUUUGAUUUUGGUUGGAUUUUGGCUAAUGUCGGGUUAAAGGGUUGAGAGGAGUUGCUGGGUUGAGAAUUGUCAUGGUGAAGCUGUUGUUAAUUGAAUGAAGAAGAGGGGAAGGUUUAGGCCGGGUAUGUUUGUUGGUGUGGGCCUAGGGGCGUUGGGCUGCUGGAAAUUUGGGGCUAAUUUGGCAAAGUCAAAAGGAAAUUGGGCUUGGGCUUGUUAAUUUGAAGAGUGGGCUGGUAAUUUAAAAAUAAGAAUAAACUGAAUUUGGGGUUAUUUAAUUGAUAACCCCAAUCAAAUUAAGAAUUAGUCAAAUCCAAUUAAAUUUUAACCAAAUUGAAGUCAAUUGGCCUAUUGCAUUGCAAUUGAAGCCAAUUUUAUUUCAAUUAUAGUCAAUUUAAUAGAUUGACCAAAUUAAAUCGAUACUCGAUACAAAUUGAUACCUCACUUAAUCCCAAGCUGCUUGAUUUGAUAAAAUCAAACACAUAUUUUCCAAAUAAAUUAAUUUUAAGAAUAAAUUAUACUUAAAUCAAGAUUUUUCAACCAUUUGAAUUUAUUUUCAAAAUAAUCCUUGAUAAAAAAAUUCAAUACUCCGUAAAAUAGAUAUUUAAGUAACAAAAUUACAUAUUUUCAUAUAAUUGAAUACGAUAAUAUAUAAUCGCUACUUAAAAUAAUAAGUUUACCCAAAUAAAUAGCUUGAAAAGAUUCUUAUUCAGAUAAAAUAUAUGUUGCGAUUUUAUUUUAAAAUCGAAGAAACUCGAGAUUAAACAUAGUUGUGGAGGGCAAAAAUUAGGUGUCAACAACUGCCCCCUCCCUUUGGGUAGGAUGGAUGCAAAUAAUCCUGGGCAAAGGGAGGUUGACAUUCCUAAUUUUUGUCCGACCACAAAUUCGUAUCUAAGAGAGGUUGGUUUUCCGCACGAGUUUCAUGAAGUUAUGGCCGACCCUCAGUAUCAGGUUUCCUACAUAUCUCAUGUUACAUGAGAAUUCAGGUCACUUGUAGUUCAUAAAGCUUGAUUUUAAGCACGAUUUUCAAGCAAAUUCACCAACUAUUACGGUUUUAGAGUUUUUGGUUAAAUCGAGAAGCUGGAGAAUAAAGGGAUUUGUGGGGAGGUUGGAAUGCAGUCGAGUAUUCUACAGAGAUCCCAGCCUACAUAUCCCCAAGAUUUUAGGGAAUCAGACUGUUUGUAGUUCGACUCGAUCGGUAGAAAAGAUAGUCUUUUAUUUCAGAUGAUCUUUGGCUCGGAAUGAGUGACAAGUUAAUGAGUUGCGGAAAAGAGGCUUGUAACAUCUUAACCAUGAAUGUGGAGCUCUUCACAUCCAUAGGUAAGAAUUUACGUGGGCAUAAUUUCCAAAACUCUAAGUGUUUUGCCACCUGAAUUUGAAAGAAAGAGAAGGUUACCCUCGGCGUGAGUUUAGAAAUAUUUUGAAGGUGAAGCUGAAAACAGAAUAUCCAAAAAUGCCUACAUGCCUUCUAAUAGAGGUGUGGUUAGAUGGUGGUGGUGAUUAUCAUUUAGCUCGCGUCUAGAGAGUUUGAGAUCCCUCUCUAGACUAUGUCCCGUUUUGCUGCUGAGAAGAGUUCCACGUUGUGCUGCGUCCUUCUGGAGUCGUACGCACCUAUGGUUUUGGUUUGAUAUUUUCAUCCUUUCAGAUUCUCUCGACAAUUUCUCAAGAAAAAAGUGUUAGUACUAACAUAAUUCACAAAAGAUGUAGGUAGUCUUAUACCAUAUCUCCGUAUGAGUUGUGGCCUGAAAAGCGGAGUCAUCUCUUUAUGGUACCUAUUUGGAAUGAAAUAACUGGAAACAACAAACACAAAAACCCUCUUGGUUGUUCUAUAAUUAUGACAUUUGUCGGUUGAAUCUGUCUUCAAAGUGGGGUGGCCUUUUGGAUACCGUCGAUACUUUAUGCAGAACGGUCUCUACAACCGUGUAAUCUUAUGCUAGAGUGGCAACCCUUUUGGUUACCUAUAUCACUUGUUGUAUGUGGAAUGAUAACCUCUCCGGUUACAGCCGAUGAUCGAUUUAUAAAUUUUUCUUAAAUUAUCAAUCUUUGGAUAAUCUUGCGUAUUAUUUGAUAUUGGAUACGAGGCGAAUUACAGAUAUCCUUUGAAUUUCUAGCUUUUAGGUAAUCCUGCACAUUAUCUGACUUUGGAUAAGAGAUGGCUUACAGAUAUCCCUCCAAUCGCUAGCUUUCAGGUGUUCCUGCACAUCAUCCGACCUUGGAUACAAUAUGACUUACAGAUAAUCUCUCAAAUUGUUAGUCUUUGGGUAAUCCAUCACAUAAUCAAACUUGGAUAUGGCACGGCUUAUAGAGAACCCUUGGACAUAUCAAUUUGAUAAUCUUGCAUAUUUUUCGAUAAGGAUUUAGUUGCGACUUAUGGAUAACCUUUGAACUAUCGAUUUUUGGGCGAUCUUACACACUAUCCGGUUAGGAUGUUGUUGUGGCUUACAGAUGACCUACAGGCUCUCAAAUCAAAGGUGAUCUUGCACACUAUCCUAUUUCAAAUAAUAUGACUUAUAGAUAAUCCCUUAAAUUGUCAAUUUCCAGGAAACCUUAUAUAUCAUUCAUCCUUAGAUAGCGACUUAAAGGCGUCCCUUCAAAUUGUGUACCCUCGAUGUAUUUAUAUGCUGAUUUAUGAAAUAAUGAGAUAUCCUCGACGCCAGUAUUUCUGUCUAGUGUGUCAACAGCUAUUGAAUGCCUUCUAGGGUGAUGGUAUGAGAUGGCCUUUGAGGAAAUGAUAUGUAAUGGCCCUUGGGGCGAUGAUAUCCAAUAGCCCUUGUGGCGAUAAUAUGCAAUAGCCAUUGUGGCGAUGCCCUGCGGUUAUGAUGUGUAAUUUUACCUAAUUUCAUUUAUCAGUGUCCUGCUUUCUACAUGUACCUGUACUCAAGGUAGACGAUUAGUAUACACAAAGUCGCUUUUACUAGCAACUAUUUUUAGGAAAUCUUUUAAAUACGAUAUGUGUAAAGAAGACAAAGAGCUUUUGUUUGUCGCCUACGAUCUCGAGAAAUGAGAUGGACAAAUCAAAAGGUCCUCAAUAAAUGGGAGUUAAACCUAUUUUUAGGGCUACCCUAAAAUACCGUUCUUGGGUAUUAAUGCUCUGUUGUGGCUCCCAUUUUGCUCGGGGAUUUUUGAAAGAGACCCUUAUUUUGUAUAUUGAACCCUGCAUCCAUAGAAAAAUGAUUAGUUUGAAUGAAAGUACUCCGUGUUGACCUUCUUCGAUCCUUGAUUUGCUCCUUUCCAUCCUUGGGUAUUCCACCAUAUCAGGACUUUCACCCUGACACUCCAUCCCAAAUAAUGUCUAGGCAAAUACUAAAUAAGUGAGUCGUAAGAUUUUUGGAAAAUAGUCUUAAAUUUUUGAAAACUUCUGUAAAACUUUAGAAAAUCUCUACCAGCCAUGUCAUGUACUAGCUCAACGAAUGUCUUCCUCGUGGUUUUAACUAUAUUCGAUGGAUGGUUUCCAAAACUCAUGAUCAUUAUUGGAGGGUUUCUUCAAGUAGUUCUAUCAUAGACAAAAAUUGAGUCUACCCAGACUUUGUUACAGUUGGUGGCUUCCAAAGCUUUAACCUCUGGUGCUGGGGAAUUUGGAAUAUGUUCCAGCAUUUGGUGGAAAUUUUGAGGUCUUCCUCAAAAUUUCUGCCCCAGUUUAAAGUUGUUUGAGAUGAUACCAAUCCGAGUGGAUCUGAAGUCUUUGCUAAUCUUCAUUCUUUUUGUUGGAUGUCGAUCUUCUCUUGUGAAUUUUCGAUAUUCCUUCUCAAAAAUUUUGCCCUAGUUUUCCUUUCCUGGGGUUAUAUGACUGAACCGUUGGGGCGCCUACAUAUCCCGUUGAAGCAGGAAUCAGGUCAAACGUAGUUCAGGCCUACGCUAGGGGUAUACAACGAAAAAUCUAAUGGGUUGACCGAAGCCGACAUAGGCCGCCUACGUAUCUCAUUCUUGAGAAUUCAGGUCAUCGCAUAGUUCAUACCUAAAAGGAAAGAUAAAUUUUGCUAAGGGGGUGACCGAAGCCGACAUAGGCCGCCUACGUAUCCCUUUCUUGGGAAUUCAGGUCAAACAUAGUUCGUACAUAGAGGGAAAGGAUUCUAGGCGAUUAGACAUCAUAAAAUUGAUACUAUUAUAAAGGCGAUUACAAAUAAGCCCAGAAAUAAAACUAUAACAUCUUUCAAGCAUGAUAUAUCUUUACCGCAUCAGAAUCGAUUGGUUUAGUCCACUCUUGACCAUCCAUCUCGGGUAGUAUUAGGGCUCCUCUAGGUUAGGCUUCUUUUGAUUUUCACAUUCCUUCGUAUCUACUACUAACUGUUCCUCAUCACCUUUUUUGUUCAUUAUUAUUUCCUUCGCCUUGUUCGCCUUACCCUUGACGUGACAUGACAUUGACAGGUUUUUCAAAUUAUUGAGACCAAAACAAACCAUGCUCGAUAAUCAUAUUUAAAAAUUAACUUCUUAAAUAAAGGGAGGCCUUUUGGAAAAUAAAUAAAAACUAUGGCUUAUGACCCACACAAAUGUGGGCCCAUGCCUUUUUGAAAGUUGUAAAAUACGAAACAAAAGUUUGAGACAUAAAAGGGUGGAUAACAGGGCCUCCUCCAGAUCAUCACCGAUUUUAAAAAAUAUUAGUAAUUUCCCUUUCAUCUACCGUUAUGAGUGAUGGUUUAUGAGUGGAGUGGAGGUCCAGUUUUGCAAGGCCUCCCAUUAUGCAAUCUUCUUUACCCCACCGGACUUUGGAAAACCAUCUGGUAAAGCAUUGUAUCCAUCGAACAGAUCUUUUAUCCCAUCCCCAAGACCAUCAUCGUUUGACACCUCAUGUACGGGAAAUGACUGGUACAAGAUCGGCAAGGGCCUAAAAAGACUCUCCUUUGAAUUAUCUUCGAUCUCAUUUUUCCUUCUUGGCUGGUACUCUAUCUCAUGCUUAAAUUCUUUUUCAAGGACCAUAACAGGCUCAAAAAUUUCUUCCAAAUCCUUCCUUGAGGCGGCCGCAACUUUUUCUAUCUUCUCUACCUCUUUUGUUCUUCUGAGUCCUUCUGAAUUUACCUUAUCAAUGGCCUUGAUAGAUUCUCAUUCACCAUCUAUUUCAAUCAUAUUAACUGUAGGUCCCCCAUGGUUAGGCAACGAAUUACUGUUAACAUUUGGUGUCGGCGACUGAAGUGUGAUGACCUUCAGAUCGAUCAAAUCUUGGAUCUUAUGUUUCAAGUUAAUACAAUCUCGGUACUGUGCCCCCGCUGCUCCUAAAUGAUAGGCACAAUUUUGAUCGGGAUGAUAAAACUGGGAGUUGGAUCGAUAGGCUUUGGCUGGAUCGGUUGCAAAUAACCAGCUUUCAUCAAUCUUUCGAAGAGCUGGGUACGACUUUCAGCUAGCAGCAUGAAGUUUCGGGGAGGUUUUUUUUCAAAUUUUAGACGUGGAGGGUUAUAAUGAUUCUUAUUUAUGGGGGGAGGUACUUGAUGAUAAUUUGGAGACAUUUGGACAUUUAUUUGGUUAUUUGGGAAAGUAGCUUGAGUAUGAGGCUGAUAAUUUAGUUGUGGAACUUUGUACUGGCGUAAAAUAUUUGGAUUUGGAGCUUGACAUUGGGGUUGAGCGUAGAAUAUAGGCUGAAAACUUGGUGAUAAUGAUGAGGAAAGAAUAUUUCUAGGCUUGAAUUUCCUCUUUAACUUAUCAACAGAAUUAGUAGAGACCGCAGUCGCAUCCUCUCUUUUCUUCUUUGGAAAUGCAUAUGAUUUAGAUGAUGUUGGGGUUUUGGCAAUAUUUCCUGUUCGAAUGCCUUCCUCUAAUAAUUCCCCAAUCUUUACUAAAUAUGUGAAAGUUGCUCGGACCGCGGAUACCAUCCUGGUAUAAAAUUCUCCUUCCUGUGCACGAGAGAAAACUGAUACCAUUUCUUCCUCAGACAUGGGAGGUUGUACUUUAGCAGCCUCUUUUCUCCAACGAAAAGCAUAGUCUUGAAAACUCUAUCAUUCUUCUGUUUAAUCCGAUCUAGUGAAUAUCAUUCAGGGACUAUUUCAAUAUUGAAUGCAAAUCGGUCAAGGAAACCCUUGGCCAAUGCUUUCCAACCAGACCACUUUUUCGGCUCCUGAGACAUAAACCACUCCAAGGCUUCGCCACUUAAACUUCAACUGAAUAGGCGCAUCAAUAACUCCUCAUUUUUCCCUAUCCCUACCAGUUGCUCACAGUACCUUUUACGAUGGGCCAUUGGAUUUUUGGUACCGUCAAACAUCUCAAACUUAGGGACUUUGUACCCAUUUGGUAGGUCUACUCCCGGGUGAACACAUAAAUCAUCAUAUCCUAAACUAUCGUGGUCCCUCACUUCAUGAGAUUCUUUGAUCCUUAUGAUCUCUUCAUUCAUAGCUAGCAACUUCAUUUCAUGCUCGGUUCUCCACUCUUUCUCCUUCUCCUCGUAAUGAUAUAUCUCGAGAUGAGGAAGGGGAUUAUAGAUAUUAGGGGAUAUGAUGGCGUGAGGAAGAUUUGCAAGGAAGGCUUGAUUUUGCAGAUAAGGGGAAUUUGGUUGGUAAGUAGGGAGGACAUUUUGGAAAUUAGGAAGGUUUCGUGGACCUUGCAGGUAUUUUGACGGAAUAUAAGAAGGAUUUUGAGGAUUUGAAAAUGAAUUUGGUGGAUUCGAAGGUAGAUUUGAUAUGUUUUGUGGGUUUGGGAGUGAAUUUUGCGAAUUUGGGAAUGCAUUUUGUUGAUUUAAAAAUAUGUUUUGAGGAUUUGGGAAUGUAUUCGGAGAUGAAUUUUGUGGGGUUAGAUAUGGAUUUUGUGGAUGGUAGGCGUCUGGGUUAUUUUCAUGAUUGGUAUUUUAGACAAAUGGAGGAGCAGAGACUGACGAUACGUUAUUCGGCUGAUCCCUGAGAAUAGGGGUGCUGAGGGGAGGAAUUUGGAGUGGAGUCCUGUGUCCCCCCGGAGCAGGGGCAUUGGCGGUGAUAGCCAAGUUAGCCAAAUCUCGAGUGCAAUUUAUUUCCUCCUAAAGCAUUUCUAACUUUCUUGCAAGUUUCACAAUCAUCUCAUUCUGUUCCGCUAUCAAAUUAUCCCGGAUAGUCAGUGCGCUCUCUUCGUUAUUUCCUGUCAUUUUUGGAUGAUGGUCAGAGGAUGGGAUUUUGUGCACUUUCGAUCGGGUGAAGUAGGGAUGUUCUGCCAGCUUAUAUCAACAUAGAGUAAUUUCUAUUAUCUGCAAAGUAGAACAACUCAAAAUCAAAUGCGUUAGUUUUCAUAUGUGAUAAGUAAUGCAAAAUAUUUGACAGGAAAUAACCACACAGAGUUGUUCGAGUCAUAGUCAAAUUCAUUCGUAGAACAUAGUGGAUAAACUUGCCUUUGAACUCAACAAAUGCACAUAAGCACAUAAAAUAGUUAUAUUACACAAAACAUUAUAAUGACGCGUAUCCUAGUUGGGGUGACCCUUUUUGAGCCAAGGGUUCAGGCCUAACAAUUUUUUGAAGAAAAUAUGUGUUUCCUCAAAGUCAAUCCAUUAACCCCUAAAUCAUAUAGACACAACAAGGGCAUAAAUGCCUACAAAAGAUAUCGAAAUAGGGAUACAAUCUUUAGGGAAAAGGGGAAAUAACAUGAAAGAAGAUAAGUUCCCACACAGGGGAUAAUAGAAAGAUUAGCUACUGGAGGCUCCUUCGUCCGUUUUUGCCUUCUUUGCCUUGUUUACCUCAUGUGCUAUUUGAUACCUAUUGAUGAUAAGAUGACUCCCGAAUAACUGUGCCUUGCAGUCGUAAGUCAUUUUUCCUAUGCUAUCGAGUUGGGAGGCCAUGCUAUCAUCCAAAUCGAUUAGGCAUUGCCUGGCAUCAUCAGUGCCUUGCCUAGCUCUUUUCAACUCUUACCUUAACAUGCGUAUGGUCAAAGCAUCCUCCAUGUGCAUCUGCCGGUGCGCGAUUUCACUUUUUUGGAACUCAUCAUGUAGCCUGUGAAGUUGAAUUUGAUGCUCGAAUUCUAUAUCCAUAACCUGAGUGGGCACAUUUGGUCCCGGAAUUAAUGCUUUGGCAAGACUCUUUUUCAACCACUCCUUAUAAGUGUCGCUGACGUCAGGGUCAUGCUCUAUACGGAAAGUCACUUCUGUCCACCUUCUUCUUCUCCAUCCAUUUAUCAUGCUAUCUUUGAGUGGAGACUCACUUUCAUCGUAUUCCGUGAAAAACCUAAGUAUGGAAUCUAUUUGUGGUGCCUCCUGCUUGAUCUCGAAUUGCCUAAGAACUCUACCAGGAUUGUGUGGCCGGGUCCCCCUAAGACUGGGAAGCACUAGGAAAGGCCACUUGCCCCCUCGAAUGGUGUAUUUCCCUGAACGAAGAGAGUUAAUGGACCAUUGCACAUUGUCAUCUCUUAAUUCCCCAAAAGUCUUAAACCAAAAUUCGUGAGAUGCUUCCCUUUUGAACCUGUGUAGAAACAACCAUAUGUCAUGCGAAGCUAGCAUAUCCACCCUUGUUUUAUGAUCAGGUUGUACCGUUAUUGAAUCCUUUACCAAAUGCUUCAUUAUCCACCAUUGUAAUAUUAGGUUGCAACCUUGAAAGAAACGAUUUUCGACUUGACACCUUCCCAAGGCUCGAUAUAUGUCGGCGACAAUCAUGGGAGCUAAAUUGUGGAAUACCUUGGUAGGAUCGUAAUCUACUCCAAAGAAAAGUGCAUGGGCCACCAUAACAACACUUGGAUGAAUUGUGCCAUUUUCUCCCUGUGGGAACACCAUGGUUCCGAGUAGACCUACCACAAACGCAAAGGCUCUCAUCUCCUUCCAUUUUGCUUCGGACUCAAAUUUAUGUCCAAAUUUGUGGAAGGCAUUGAAUCUUCCAAACCAAUGAUACAACUCCCAAAAAGUGAUAUUUCCUCCAUCACGUUCCCCUAGCCAGGUUUCGUCGUCGGUUAAAAAUGCCUCUUUGAUUGUUUGACGGUCCCACAAGGUAGGAACUAAAAUGUUCUUAUCAGGUUUUUCCUUUCUCUUGAAACACAUUUCAAUACUCUCAUAGCAAAUUAACACUUCUUCGAUGGUAGGAGUCAAUUCCACAUCCCCGAAGCGAAACACCAUAUUCUAAUCAUCCCAAAAAGUCGUAAGCACGUGGAUCAUUUCAGGCCAAGCGUCCAUUUCGAUCAACGAAGGCAGGUGCCCGAUGUGUGCCCUAACAACUUUUCUCUCAUCUAGACCCAUGUAAUCCCACCACAAUUUCAAGUAAUCAUCAGGUUUGGUAACCAUUUUGAACUUUUCACGGGAAUGAGAUUGAGUCAUAUCUACGUAAAAGAAGACAAAGAUAAGCCUUUCCCCGACCCCCAAAGGGUAAUGGAUUGAAUUUGGACAAGCAUAUAUUUCUCCAACACAUAAGUAUGAUCCGUCUGUGAAUGACUCGAGGUCAAUAGACGUAGGGCAGGUUUUCUAAUUGGCCCAAUACCCCGCUCGGGUAUUGGGUCAUCCUAGGCUCAUGCCUAAAAUAGGGUUUUGGUUUCGUUCUAUCCUCAGUGUCUAGAGUGGGUUCGAACACUGGUUCUCAAGCAAACAACUUGAGUUUGAAAAUACAAACAGCCAUCAGACGACUCACGUGCUAAUAAACUGUUUGUAUUUCCAACACAUUUUUAGAAUUGAUCAAUAAGGGCCGGGAUACCCACGAAAUCCCAAAAUAGUUUAAAUAAUGUAGGAAUAUGCCAUGAGAUGCGAUAUUUAAAUUCUACAAAAGUGAAACACAUAAACACAUAAACAGUCAAUCAAAAGACAAAAUCAAACAUUUGGUUAGAACCUAGUUAAAAAUCCCCAGCAGAGUCGUCAUUUCUGUUUUGCGGAGAAAUUUUGAAUUUUGAAAGAGAGUCGCCACUUAAUUUUGAAAAGGAAUUAAGAAACCUUUAUAAAACACUUUAAACAAUCUAAAACAGAAAAAUCGUUUAAGUUAAGAGAUUCUGGAUAAGUGGUUCCUAUUAACAUUUUAGGAAGGUGUUAGGCACCUAAAACGUCCGCUAACUUGCGGUUAACCGGACUAUUUGAAAAUCGUUUUUUGAUUAACUUCGAAAAGAUUAAUUUGUUGAAAUAGUGAUUUGAUUUUUUUCAAAAAACAGACUUGUGUAAAAUAGGUUUAGGCGACUUAGUAGAGAUUUUAACUAAGUCUAAACAAAAUUAAUAAGCAAAUAAACACAUAAAAGGGGAAGGGAGGAGAAAGUAAAGGAUUUAGGCCAUUGGGCCCAAAUCAACGAGACCUGUCAUAGUCUAGUUGGGCUUCCGACCCAUUUCACCCGUCCUAAACUAUUUUUCGAGCCUUUGGCUCGAGUCUUGCUCCACCUGUAUUAAAUACAACAUUGGCUUCGAGGCCCAAAUAAAUAAGAAAUGAAUUCAUAAAUAAAGACGACAAUAGGUAAAUAACAAACGCGACUUUCGGGUCUCGUAGCUUCUUCAAAUGUGGGACUUUAACCCCUUCUUCUCCUUUUGACUCCUUGUAUCCGUAUUCUAUGAGGUUGAUAUCCAAAUUCUCCUAAAGGGUGGGCCUCACUGGCCCGUUGUAUGAUACAAGGGAAAAGAGUCCAAUUAGACUCCGAAGAGAGUUCAUGCAAAGAAAAGAUGAAUAAAUUAAUGCCCAUUCGAGACAUAACAUACCUCAAAAUAAAGAAACAUCAAGGACUAAGUUUUGAAUGAUAAUGAUGCACACACUUAUGCACAUGAUAAGAAUGAGAGUCAAUCGAUACGAUGCAAAGCCUAGAAGGGUUCAUAUAACAAUCCGAACAGAAUGAGGCAACUAUAAUGAAAAUAACUUCUCGCUUAAUUCAAUAAGUUAUAUUGCGCAUGGUUUGAACAUACCUAGAUAAUCUACUUAAGAGGUGAAGAUAUAUUCAUGGACAAAAUAGUGAAUACAAUAAACAAAAGGUCACAGAAGGAUAAAGAAUUCCCUGCACAAGUUCUUAAGGGAGAUUUUAUACCAAAAACAUGGUUCCAGCAGGUGGUGAUGAUUCUUACUAUAUCAAACCAAAUUUUAAUGCUCCUAGCUAGUGAAAGACUAAUUAUCCCAGAUUUCAAACAAAGGCAUUUAACAUGGGAUAGGAUCAAAUAGAGAAGGAAAAGACUAGAUACAAAUAGUAUGAGAAACAAUCCGAUCUUGGACUCCUCAAAGAAGAUAAUCAAAAUCAAGCAUUUUUAGAUAAGUGCAGACUAGGUUCUAUCACAAUAUAACGAAACAUAUACCCAUGGUCUUCUUUCGCAAGAACAAAGGCUUAAAGGC